Molecule: long non-coding RNA, 4470 nt
Organism: Homalodisca vitripennis (glassy-winged sharpshooter)
Lineage: Eukaryota; Metazoa; Arthropoda; Insecta; Hemiptera; Cicadellidae
Exons: 5
Source: RefSeq, a predicted model, not a curated record
GUGUUUUGUGUAUUGCCUUCGGUCAAGUUUGUCAGCUGUGUGAAAAUCAUUUUAAUUUUAAAAUUUGAAUAACUUGUGAAAUUUUGAACUAUUUCUUUCUAUUAAUAUUUUCAAAAAAGUUUUAUAUUACAAUAUUUGAUUUUUUCUAUUUUUGUUUUGGUGCCAACUAAUUUGAUAUGUUGUCAGAGCUACUAAGCCUUCGCAGUUGGCACAAGACUGUGUGCUUUCAUUGUUCUGUGGAUCUGUAGUAUUACAAACUUAACUAGUACUACUUUAAUUUAAAACUUACAAGUUAUUAAAUUUCCAUUAACUUGGAGCUCUGACUUUAUGGAAGAAUUUAACUUUUGCUGUCACCAAGAUGUCACCACAACACAAGCUAUUUUUGUCAAUGUUCACUUAUAAAAUAAAAUCAUGAAGCUUCAGUAUAACAUGUUAUGACGACAGAAGACCCCAGUGAUACUGGGUUGAGAUGAUCGUCUCAUUGCAACAUGCUUUAGGAAUGACUGCACGUAACAAUCUUCUGAGAUAUUCCUGGUUUUUCCAUUUCGGAAGAUCGUCACACUCCGUAAUAUAAGGUUCCUGAUUUUACAUCCCCAGAAGCUACCAACUACUACAUUUGACAAAACUGUUUAUAUACAAUAAUAUAUGUAUGUUCUGCAUGUAUUUUUAUAUCUAAAUUUUAAUGUGUGAUUACUUUAAUUGGUUUAAAAAAAUAUUCACCUUCCCUUCCUACUACAUAAUGUCCUCUGUAUUAUCAUUUACUACUUCUUCUAAUGUAAGUUAAUCACUAUAUAUUAUAUGAGCUGCAAAAUCAUAGUUUUACCUAAUAAACAACUAUUAGUUGUUAAAUUAAGAAUUCAUUUUAACUACUGGCAUAAUUUAUCUGAUUUGUUUCACAUGAGUACAGAAUCUACAUCAUGACAUUAUUGAUAAUUUCUUGUUUCAUAAUUUUUAUAUCACGAGUGAAUAAUUUAAAACUGGGUAAAUAUGUUGUAAUGCAGUUUUUAAAUAAUGUGUUCAUUCUUUUGGCUGUGUUAAAACUUUGGUUUAUAUUUUAACAGGAUUAUGAAGUGUAUAACAUGUUUAAAUUAAAAAUCAUUUGAUAGCAGUAAAAUUUGGUGAUUUCUCUUUGCAUGCUUUGAAAAUAUUGAAUAGAAUGUAUUAAAAAAGUGAGUUAUAACAAUGACAUGACUCUUCUUCAUUCCGUAUCCAGUACACUAUUACCAUAAUUUGGCCAUGGUGGGUUGGCUUUGUGUACUAAUCCACAGUGGACUACAAAUGUAGUCAUAUACGUCCCCUACCAAGACUUGUAAUUAGCCAAAGAUGUUUCAGCCAGUGAGGCAAGUUCUUUUGCCAAAGUCUCCAAGUAAAAAAAUGUAAGAUAUUCUAUUCUGUAGAUUGGAUGUUGGCAACAAGAGUAAAAAUAGUAAUAAAGUUAAAAUGAAAUGAUAAUUUACACAUUAAUUGGGGUGUUCAAGACAGCCGACUGACUAUGGAGGUAUAUUUUUGGCUUCUACUUCUAUUUUGUGAUAAACUUUAGCUUCUGGUUAUUUUAAUUCUCUUUAUAUACAUUACUCAAGAACUGUGUAAAGUUACCCUCUUGUAAUUGUGGAUGAGUGUUUGUCUUCUUAAGUAUAACUAUGGAAUACAAAUGAGCACUCUCUCUAAUUUUAUUUAUUGGUGGACAUAAAUCGGUACAUUUCUUAAUUUUGUGGUAAAUAGAAAUGUUUUUAAUUUGUCAUUAUUUAUAAAAAGAAAACAAUAAAACCGUAUAAAAUAUUGUUUUAUUUUUAUCCGUUUACAUGUUUUCUUGUAUAAAAUUGUUACAGUCUUGAUGCUUUCUGGACAUUUGUUGAAAUUUAUUUUUUUAAGUAAUGUUAUCAACACUGUAAAGUCAGUGGGUAAACCAAAGUUUGUGUGUUUUGUUUAACAUUACAUUCAAUUAAAAAUGAUUUUAUUACAGCUAUUUAGUUGUACAGUAGUGGUAAUAGUUUAUAAUCUAACAGUUAUUUGAAGGUAAGUACAGUAUUAUUUUAAAUUUGGAAGUAUUUGUAGGCUUUAUACCAUUUCUGAAUGCCCUAUAAAUUUAGCACACUUUUAAUUAUAUUAGUAACUAUUUAAUUUAAAUUUAGUUUUAUUAAAAUUUAGUAUUACAACUUGCUAAAACCUUUGCUAUGCUUUAUAAAUACCUUAUUCAUUUUUAAUUACUGUUCACUAUAAAUUAACCUUUAUUAUAUUUUAAAAUAAUUGUUAUAUUUUGUAAAGAUGUGUUAUGCCUGUAUAAGUUAAUUAAGUGUUUAAGAUUGUGAUACACUUGUAGAAAUUGUAGCUUAAGCUGCGGUUUCUAAUCUUAAUAAUAAAUACAUUUUUAAUAUGAUUAUGCUUAUAUUAUUUAACCUUGAAUAUGCAGUGUGUUAUUAUAUGUUAAUAUUACUAAAUUAUCUACUGUAUGGUCAAACCAUCUCUGUCAAUCCUCCUACUGGUACAUCAAAUAUAAUAUUGUCAAAUACUUUUUAUGCAGAAUUUGCAGUAGCACUUCUCUAUGGCAGGAUAAUAAGACAAACAAAUGGUUUAAGGUUCUGUAGAAGUCAUUCGUUUUAUUCAGAUUUCAGGUUUGUGGCAAACAAUUUUAGUUCAAGAACAAAUAAGUAUCAAGAAUCAAGUUUUCUAAACUAACUUUGUGAUGGGCUAAUUUUUGUAGUAUGCUAUUCUGGGCGGAGCUUGCAUAGUAUACUCUGCAGAACAGAGCUCAUAAUACACUAUACAUGCUGGACAGAGCUUACGUAGUACUAAGCUGUGCUAGGCAGAACUUACAUAGUAUGCUAUGCUAGUCAGAGAUUUCUUAGUAUACUGUACUGAGUAGAGCUUACAUAGUACUGUGCUGUGCAGAGCUCGUAGUACACUAUGCAUGCUGGACAGGAACGUACACUGUACUGGGUAGAACUUAUUGUACACUGUGCUGUGCUGAACUUACGUAGUAGCGUAAUAUGACAAAACAUUAUUUGAAGGUUAUGUUGAAGUGAACCCAUUUACUCAACUAUGUCUUGAACUGAAACUGUUCAAGUACAAAGAAGUAUUCAAAAAUUAUCAGAAUAGUCUUAUGAGGGGGAAAUCAAAUAUAGUAUGCUGUUCUGGGCACAGCUUACAUAUUACACUUUGCCGUGCAGAGCUUACUUAUGUAAUAUUUUGUCCUGGACUUUUAUCACUCACUUCUCUCUACUGUUGAGCAUCUGCUGUCAUUGGUCUCAUCGAGAAAGUUGUGUUAAGUCUCAGUAAAUAUUUCUAUGAGCUUUUUACUUGCCCUUGGUUUUUGUCACGAUUGGUUUCAUUAAACUGUGUUCUGCUCUAACAAUUUGUUUCCUUCUUUCUAAAAAAAAUUGAUUACACUGUUGAGAUGUUGAAAACCAUUUAGGAAACGAUAAAGCUUUGAUGAAAAUUAAGUGCAAGACUGGUUUUCUCAUUCAAAAUAAUGUGAUAUGUUAUUUAAUGACAAACUUGUUCGGUGUAAUUGUUAAUUUCUUGAGAAGUUGACGAAAAUGGACAUGGGGAUGAAAAUUGAAAAUGGACUAUUAAAAUCUACUGACAUCUAGAAUAGUUGGAAAAUAAGGUUAAGAAAAUGUUAUUAGAAUGUUUGCGACUGAGAAGGAUUUGUGAGAGCAUCAAAAUUCUCCAUCAUGAUGCAAUGCACAAUUUUGUUUGCGCCUUUAGGACAGUCCAUAGUUUCCUUAUCCCAUACCUGAUUUAGUUACCUGAUUUCACUACAUGUAUUUAAUGUUUGUUUAUACAAAUGAAAAUGGAUAUGAAAAGAUAAUAUUCUAAUACAGUGGUUAACCCUCAUAGUGAUGAAUAUGUUUAUUAUUAAUGAUAGGUGCAUUUGGAGUGUUUCGCUGGGGGUUUCUUAAAAAUUAAUAAAAAUUAUUAAUUUUAUUGAAAAUACAAUAUAUUAUAUACCAAAAUAUUCAUAAAAACAUAAAGAACGAUUUUAAAGAAAAUAAAACUACUUUCCUUUGUACAUAUCCCUUAAAACUUGCUCAAAAAUUAAAAAAACUGUUUUUUGAAAAAAAAAUUUACCAUAAAAACCACAUAUAAAACUCACUAAACAAAGAUUUGAAGAUAGCAAAUUUUUUUAAUAAAUUUCAUGAAGAUAAAUAAUAUAUACAGUUUUCGCACAAUAUUUUACUUGAAAAACCUGUUAUGAUGGAAAUAUUGUACAAUAUGUACAUGGAAGAAACCCUUGCAUUCACUCCGAGGCACUACUACUAUCAUGCUUUCUCUUCCUCCCUUGAUACUUUGGUCUCCAAAAAUGAUCCAAUUUAUGGAAACACUCUCUAUGAACACCAGAAUUGCAUCCUGGACACUAGAAUCGCGAUCUUCCCCUUUUUUUGUGUGGCCACAUACAAUACAUAGCCGCUCUUGUCUUCCUGGUAAGCGUUGGAGGGAAUGGCCUGCACCAGGAUUUGAAUUAUAAUC